Molecule: long non-coding RNA, 151 nt
Organism: Rhinichthys klamathensis goyatoka
Lineage: Eukaryota; Metazoa; Chordata; Actinopteri; Cypriniformes; Leuciscidae
Exons: 2
Source: RefSeq, a predicted model, not a curated record
AUGAGAAAAUUUCUUUGGGGGAGGCAGCAGAAAUAGAGAGAGAUUUCUUCCAAAACCAUGACCAUUUCAGAUGCCUCUUGAAUGAGGAUAAAGCAAAGCAACUAUUGAAUGUCUUGCUGUCAAACUGACACACAAUCUUGUUGAUCAUAUC